GCCUCAUUACAUUUAUUGGCAUCUGGCACUGUUCACAAGUGGUCGAUCAGAGACAGUAGAGAGAACUCUUUAGUCACAGGGGCCUGAGAAAGCUUCAUUAAGAUUUAUGUGCCCAAGUACAUAAACUUCUGUUUAAUUUCUUGCCAAGUUUAGUUCUUCCUUACAACGUGGGGAAUUGCAGUCAUCAAAUCAAAUUAUCAAGUGCUGAAACAAUUUCAUUCAUAACACUCGAUGAACCCUUAAUAAAAAGGAGGAAUCACAGGUACAGACAAAUGAAAAGGAAGUGGUGAUUCUAAUGGAGAGACAGGUAAGGCAUGACAAAUAAGAUGGUGGAAGGAGUAAGAAAUAGGAAAAGAAAAAAAAAAAAGCCAGAAAAAUAAAGGAAGACUCAAAAUGAGUAAGAUCUAAGGA
RNAcentral lists this long non-coding RNA (411 nucleotides) under Vulpes vulpes (red fox). RNAcentral's name for it is "lncRNA (ENSVVUG00000029996.1)". The record is from RNAcentral. Lineage: Eukaryota; Metazoa; Chordata; Mammalia; Carnivora; Canidae.